GGCGCACGGUGGUGGGCCGGGCUGGACCCGCGCAGCCGUCUGAAAAGCGGAAGGUCGGCGGUUCGACCCCGCCCCUGACCA
Molecule: transfer RNA, 81 nt
Filed under: Actinomycetota bacterium
Lineage: Bacteria; Bacillati; Actinomycetota
Description: tRNA-Phe
Source: RNAcentral